This 509-nucleotide long non-coding RNA is filed under the name Dermacentor andersoni. RNAcentral's name for it is "uncharacterized LOC126535261". Lineage: Eukaryota; Metazoa; Arthropoda; Arachnida; Ixodida; Ixodidae. The record is from RNAcentral.
UCCAUUUACAACUUGGUUCCGGAUGCUAAUGAAUCCAAAUUUUUCUCUGUUUCAGGUCAACUAUUCAGAAAACCAGCGGCAUGCUACUUGAAAACAGAAUAUGGUAGCUGCACGUCAAAUAUUACACGAUAUUUCUACAACAAAGGAGUCGAUGCUUGCAGACGUUUCGUCUAUAGCGGUUGUGGGGGAAAUGGAAACAAUUUUUUGUCGCGCACCCUAUGCAGGCUUCGAUGUGAAAAUUACAAUCCUGAGAGGGACUUGUGUAUACGGCCACCGUGGGGCACUUAUUGUGAAUUUGGGAAUGAGUAUGACUUGAUGUGGUUCUUCGAUACCCAUACAUUGACUUGUCAGCAAUUUAAACACGGACCUUGCGCCGUACGCAUGAAUGCAUUUCAGACAUGUGAAAAAUGCAAAGAGAGGUGCCAGCACCACAUGACAAAGCUUCAAGUGUGCCGAGAAUAGUUCAGUACUUUUGGUUUCAUUACAACGGUUUAUGAACAAGCACCGAA